RNAcentral lists this long non-coding RNA (359 nucleotides) under Pan troglodytes (chimpanzee). RNAcentral describes it as "long non-coding RNA NONPTRT010208". The record is from RNAcentral. Lineage: Eukaryota; Metazoa; Chordata; Mammalia; Primates; Hominidae.
CAGGGAGAACUCAAACCUCUGUCAGCCCCAGAACACCAGUGGGGUUGGCUGGAGACCCCAGAUAAAAGGACCCUCAUUGGGCAGGACCUCAAGAACUAUGUGCCAGGGAGAAUUCAAAUCUGUCAGCCUGAGAACACCAGGGGCGGGUGGCUGGAGGCCUGAGUUGAAAGGACCCUCACUGGGCAGGAACUGGAGACCUCCAUGCCAGGAAGAAUUCAAACCUCUGUCAGCAUGAGAACACAGGUGGGGGUGGCCAGAGGUCCCAGUUAGGAGAGCCCUAACUGGGUGGGACCUCAAGAACUCCAUGCCUGGGAGAAUUCAAAUCUCUGUCAGCCCCAGAACACUGGCGGAGGUGGCUG